This 438-nucleotide ribosomal RNA is filed under the name uncultured bacterium. RNAcentral describes it as "bacterial SSU rRNA". It matches the Rfam family "Bacterial small subunit ribosomal RNA", at positions 338 to 792 of the family's 1533-position model. The record is from RNAcentral.
CCUACGGGAGGCAGCAGUGGGGAAUAUUGCACAAUGGGGGAAACCCUGAUGCAGCAACGCCGCGUGGGUGAAGGAGCGUUUCGGCGCGUAAAGCCCUAUCGGCAGGGAAGAAGGAGGACGGUACCUGACUAAGAAGCCCCGGCUAACUACGUGCCAGCAGCCGCGGUAAUACGUAGGGGGCAAGCGUUAUCCGGAUUUACUGGGUGUAAAGGGAGCGUAGACGGCCAGGCAAGCCUGGAGUGAAAGCCCGGGGCCCAACCCCGGGACUGCUCUGGGAACUGUCCGGCUGGAGUGCGGGAGGGGCAGGCGGAAUUCCUGGUGUAGCGGUGAAAUGCGUAGAUAUCAGGAGGAACACCGGCGGCGAAGGCGGCCUGCUGGACCGCGACUGACGUUGAGGCUCGAAAGCGUGGGGAGCGAACAGGAUUAGAUACCCUUGUA